UUAGACCCAAAUUUCAUUUUUAUUCCUUAAGUCCCCAGCAACAACCGAUGUCCCAAAUAACUUGAGGAUCCAACUUUGUAUUUCUAACACUACCUAUCAACACUUUAAAAAAUGAGAUCAAAUUAUAUAAUACUCAUGACUAACAAAAAAUGAGACAAUAUUAAUUUCUAAAUAAACAAAGAUAACAAGAUAAAACUAGAAGCAGAAUAACAUAGCACCACGUCCAACUUAGCCUUUUAUAUCAAAUUCGCUCAUUAGAUGCUGAGCUUCAAACUAAUUUGGAACUCGAGAUUAGCAAGGGUCAUAGCGAGUGAGUCAUAGUAAAGAAUCCAGGAGUCAAGCAUGUGAGUCAAAGACGUCAAAAUUUCAUUAAAUUCAUCAAAAGCUAAUUGGCAACAAUAUUUACAGAAACUUAAGAAAGCAAAAGGGAGGAAAAGAACCUCGAUUUCGACUACCUCGACGACAAUACAAACCAACUUGGGGGAAUUUUGAACCAAGGACCAAAGACUCAGGCAGCAAAUCGAAAAUCUCGACCGGAAAAACUCCCUGGUAAACUCGAAACUAUGCACCGAAGAAGCUAAAAGAUAAGCUAUUCAUGGCUGUUUGUUGAAAGGAACACGAGGAUAUUUGGUGUUGAUCUUUGCUGGAGUUUUAGGUGGUGCUCGAUGGACUCCUUUGAGGUGAUUUUCGUCUGGGUUUGGGGCUGAUUUUUGGUCAAGGGAGAUGGGUUUUUCGGCAGUUUUUAAAUGCUUGUUUUCUGCAAUUUUUCACCUAAUUUCGAUACUCUUUGAGGAUGGAUUUUACAGCUGAUAUGGGGCUGUUUUGAAGCUGGUUUUUGCUGCUAUUUCAGAGGUUAUUUUCGACUAUAAAACAGAGCUAUUUUAAAGCUUUUUUUGGUGCAUUUUUGGGUGUUUUCAAGGGUGUUACCAGUGGUUUUAGGGAUGGAGAAGAAAGUGAAAUCUAUGGGUCUUUCAUUGUUAGCUCUAGAGCUCCUUAAUGGAGGUUUGAAGAAGAAGGUCUCUCGAUUUUUUCUCUUUGUUUUCCUCAAAUCUGUUUCUUCUAUCUCCCUUCAUUUUUUCUGUCCCAGAUCCCUCAG
This 1096-nucleotide long non-coding RNA is filed under the name Nicotiana tabacum (common tobacco). Its description in RNAcentral is "long non-coding RNA (NTAB_LNC018727)". The record is from RNAcentral. Lineage: Eukaryota; Viridiplantae; Streptophyta; Magnoliopsida; Solanales; Solanaceae.